Molecule: ribosomal RNA, 253 nt
Filed under: uncultured bacterium
Lineage: Bacteria
Description: partial 16S ribosomal RNA
Rfam family: Bacterial small subunit ribosomal RNA
Source: RNAcentral
UACGAAGGGUGCUAGCGUUGUUCGGAAUCACUGGGCGUAAAGCGCGCGUAGGUGGCUUACCAAGUCAGAGGUGAAAGCCUGGAGCUCAACUCCAGAACUGCCUUUGAAACUGGUAAGCUUGAGUGUCGGAGGGGAUAGCGGAAUUCCUAAUGUAGAGGUGAAAUUCGUAGAUAUUAGGAGGAACACCGGUGGCGAAGGCGGCUAUCUGGACGACAACUGACACUGAGGCGCGAAAGCGUGGGGAUCAAACAGG